This 253-nucleotide ribosomal RNA is filed under the name uncultured bacterium. RNAcentral's name for it is "partial 16S ribosomal RNA". It matches the Rfam family "Bacterial small subunit ribosomal RNA", at positions 524 to 776 of the family's 1533-position model. The record is from RNAcentral.
UACAGAGGUCUCAAGCGUUGUUCGGAUUCAUUGGGCGUAAAGGGUGCGUAGGCGGCUUGUCACGUCGGGUGUGAAAGCCCGGGGCUUAACCCCGGGUCUGCAUUCGAUACGGGCUGGCUAGAGUGUGGUAGGGGAGAUCGGAAUUCCUGGUGUAGCGGUGAAAUGCGUAGAUAUCUGGAGGAAUACCGGUGGCGAAGGCGGCAUCCUGGACCGGCAUUGACGCUGAUGAGCGAAAGCUAGGGGAGCAAACGGG